GAGGGUCUAGCUCAGUGGUAGAGUGUGUGCUUAGCAUGCAUGAGGUCUUGGGUUCAAUCUCCAGUACCUCA
This 71-nucleotide transfer RNA is filed under the name Camelus bactrianus (Bactrian camel). It matches the Rfam family "tRNA". From Rfam's summary of the family: Transfer RNA (tRNA) molecules are approximately 80 nucleotides in length. Their secondary structure includes four short double-helical elements and three loops (D, anti-codon, and T loops). Further hydrogen bonds mediate the characteristic L-shaped molecular structure. tRNAs have two regions of fundamental functional importance: the anti-codon, which is responsible for specific mRNA codon recognition, and the 3' end, to which the tRNAs corresponding amino acid is attached (by aminoacyl-tRNA synthetases). tRNAs cope with the degeneracy of the genetic code in two manners: having more than one tRNA (with a specific anti-codon) for a particular amino acid; and 'wobble' base-pairing, i.e. permitting non-standard base-pairing at the 3rd anti-codon position. RNAcentral also lists the same sequence under 3 other names. Lineage: Eukaryota; Metazoa; Chordata; Mammalia; Artiodactyla; Camelidae. The record is from Rfam by way of RNAcentral.